UCCCUGGUGGUCUAGCGGCUAAGGAUCCAGUGCUCUCAUUGCUGCAGCCUGGGUUUGAUUCCCACACAGAGAA
This is a non-coding RNA of Pangasius djambal, 73 nucleotides long. The record is from the annotation of a GenBank genome assembly. Lineage: Eukaryota; Metazoa; Chordata; Actinopteri; Siluriformes; Pangasiidae.